This is a long non-coding RNA of Glycine soja, 879 nucleotides long. RefSeq lists it as uncharacterized. The transcript has 5 exons. The record is from RefSeq and is a predicted model, not a curated record. NCBI's taxonomy places the organism in Eukaryota, Viridiplantae, Streptophyta, Magnoliopsida, Fabales, Fabaceae.
GUAGAGUUGCACCACUAUGCCUCUUUGGAGGAUCUCAUUCAUCAAGCUAUCAAGGUGGAACAACAAGUAAAGAGGAAACAAACAUACAAGGAGAGAGGAUCUCCAUUUAAAUCUCAUGAAAAGCUUAUUUGUCUAGCUACUUUUCUCAAGGUUUCGGAGAAUGAUAGCUCUGAUCCGUAUCAGCUAGGAGAAUAUUCUUUUCAUUAAUUUAGGGAAGGGCAUUUCAGAGUUCAAGUUUAUUGGCUUUGGCUUUUCUCCUGCGGCCAUAGGAAGUAGGGAGUUCAAACUGAUAUUAGAAUGACUAUAGAUGUGGUUGUUUUUAUCAAGGGGGGGGGGGGAUCCACUUAUUUAUGGAUCUGGUACAGAAUGACCUUAAAAAUCAUGUUUGCUGGCAUGUUUAUGGUCUCCUUUAUCGGUGAGACAGAGAAUACAGGGAGGCAAUCAAGUGCUAUCGAAAUGCACUGAGAAUUGAUACCGACAACAUUGAAAUUCUUCUUGACCUAUCACUCCUACAGCAGAUGAUGAUACCAGUAGUGCACAAUCAUGGAAAACAUCUCUCACAUAACUUAAUGUCUCUUUGAAGGAUAUGAUGUACCAUGGAAGGUUUUUUUCCAAAAUCUUGCUUACGUGUGGGCAUAUAUGCUGAAUUCUUUGGUAGUUGGGGGCACUAUAACUGUCUAUCAUAUGGCUUCACACAUUUUUUAGGUACUGUGUUAGCAUUUAAUGCUUUAUUUUAAUUACCACAUGAUAGUUAAUUAUGUCAUCAUCAUACAGCUUGACUACUUGAUUUUUAUUUUAUUUUAAAUAUCUUCAAUGUCUAAUAUUUGGUUAAUUUGCGAAAGAAAGUAAUUACAUAUAAAUAAUUACUAAUUUGGUUAA